This 460-nucleotide ribosomal RNA is filed under the name uncultured bacterium. Its description in RNAcentral is "partial 16S ribosomal RNA". It matches the Rfam family "Bacterial small subunit ribosomal RNA", at positions 338 to 795 of the family's 1533-position model. The record is from RNAcentral.
CCUACGGGUGGCUGCAGUGAGGAAUAUUGGUCAAUGGACGAGAGUCUGAACCAGCCAAGUAGCGUGAAGGAUGACUGCCCUAUGGGUUGUAAACUUCUUUUAUAUGGGAAUAAAAUGUUCCAAGUGUGGGAUUUUGUAUGUACCAUAUGAAUAAGGAUCGGCUAACUCCGUGACAGCAGCCGCGGUAAUACGGAGGUUCCGAGCGUUAUCCGGAUUGAUGGGGUGUAAAGGGAGCGUAGGUGGAUUGUUAAGUCAGUAGUGAAAGUUUGCGGCUCAACCGUAAAAUUGCUGUUGAAACUGGCAGUCUUGAGUACUGUAGAGGUGGGUGGAAGUCGUGGUGUAGCGGUGAAAUGCGUAGAUAUCAGGAAGAACACCAGUGGCGAAGGCGGUUCACUGGACUGUAACUGACGUUGAGGCUCGAAAGUGUGGGGAGCAAACAGGAUUAGAUACCCGGGUAGUC